Molecule: ribosomal RNA, 408 nt
Filed under: uncultured organism
Description: bacterial SSU rRNA
Rfam family: Bacterial small subunit ribosomal RNA
Source: RNAcentral
UGUCAGCCGCCGCGGUAAGACGAAGGAUGCAAGCGUUAUCCGGAUUCAUUGGGUUUAAAGGGAGCGUAGGCGGUCUAAUAAGUCAGUGGUGAAAUCUCUCGGCUUAACUGAGAAAUGGCCAUUGAUACUGUUGGACUUGAGUACAGAUGCCGUUGGCGGAAUAUGACAUGUAGUGGUGAAAUACAUAGAGAUGUCAUAGAACACCGAUUGCGAAGGCAGCUGACGAAACUGUAACUGACGCUGAGGCUCGAAAGUGUGGGGAUCAAACAGGAUUAGAUACCCUGGUAGUCCACACUGUAAACGAUGAUUACUCGCUGCUGAGGGGUGACUUUCAGUGGCUAAGCGAAAGCGAUAAGUAAUCCACCUGGGGAGUACGCCGGCAACGGUGAAACUCAAAGGAAUUGGCGG